GACGUAGGGCGCGAGCGUUGUCCGGAUUUAUUGGGCGUAAAGAGCUCGUAGGCGGUUUGUCGCGUCGUUCGUGAAAACUCACAGCUUAACUGUGAGCUUGCGGUCGAUACGGGCAGGCUAGAGUUCGGUAGGGGAGACUGGAAUUCCUGGUGUAGCGGUGAAAUGCGCAGAUAUCAGGAGGAACACCAGUGGCGAAGGCGGCUUUCUGGUCUGUUCUUGACGCUGAGGCGCGAAAGCUAGGGUAGCAAACGGG
Molecule: ribosomal RNA, 253 nt
Filed under: uncultured bacterium
Lineage: Bacteria
Description: partial 16S ribosomal RNA
Rfam family: Bacterial small subunit ribosomal RNA
Source: RNAcentral